ACACUGCUGACGAGUCCUACAAUAGGACGAAACGGCCGUCGAGUGC
Molecule: non-coding RNA, 46 nt
Organism: Schistosoma curassoni
Lineage: Eukaryota; Metazoa; Platyhelminthes; Trematoda; Strigeidida; Schistosomatidae
Source: Rfam